GCGGCGUUUUUCGUAUAAACACGGCGAAUUUUUUUAAUGGCGUUUUUAUUCUUCGAUACCCAACAAUGGCUGAUAUCAUCUCCUUGAUUCCCUUUUCUUUCUCAGUCUUUUCUUUGCUUGACUAAAAUAUACAAACAUUGUUGUUCUAUUUUAUACACCAAAAUCCUCUCAGUUCUACUCUACAGACAUAUUACCUUCCCCAUCCACAUUAUUUGAUUUCUCGAAACCCUAAACACCCACUGGGGUUUCAGCAUCAGAAGGUACUUUUUCAUGGAAGCCAAAAAAUUGCGAUGCACCUAAGGUUGCUGAAUGUUUUACCAGGGUUGCAGAAACAAAGUUUCCGAUUAAGGUAGAAGAGUUCUUCAAUUUGUUUUUUUCGGAUAAUGCUGUUAAUUUCAUUGAAUCUUUUCAUAGAAGGUGUGGAGAUAAAGAAUUUAAGUGCUCUUCAUGGUGCCCUCAUGACAAAUUUGGACAUGUCCGUGAUGUGUCAUUUCAACAUCCAAUAAAAAUAUGCUUUGUCGGUUAUAGAGACACCACAAGAGAUCAGUGAUGUACCAUAUGGAGAUUAUUUCCGUGGAGAGGUACAAGCUAGACCUGAGUUCCCUUGAAAUGCGUUAACGUGUAAAGUGCUCUUCUGCUUUCCAUCCCUAGUUUGCCACUAUUAGGUAUAAAUUAUCCUGCUAUAAGAUUAUGGGUCAGAAUUUUCAGAAACAGAGGAAAAUUGUAUUUUAGCCCUUCAAGCUGAGAACUAAAUACAAAAGCAUGAUGUUGUGUCCACAUUUUGUUGGUGUAUGUUCAUGCAAUAUAUGUUGGAGACAAAUUUGUCCAUUGCAUUUCAACGAGUUUACAUUUUGAGCUGAAAUGGAAUUAAAUUAUUUGAUCGCUAUAA
Gossypium raimondii (Peruvian cotton) is the source of this 889-nucleotide long non-coding RNA. RefSeq lists it as uncharacterized. The transcript is spliced from 5 exons. Lineage: Eukaryota; Viridiplantae; Streptophyta; Magnoliopsida; Malvales; Malvaceae. The record is from RefSeq and is a predicted model, not a curated record.